GCCCGCCGAUUGGCCGCAGCUGGGGCCGCGCUGCCUUGUGAGGUAGAAGCCGGGGGCAGGGAAGUACCUCAUUUCUUCCGGUCCGGCAAGCCGAGAGCAGGAAGCGAGCGGAAGCAGGUGGCUCUCGCGAGGAUUUACUUAGAUCCCAGUCUGGCUAGAACGGGGGCGGGGGUGUUUCUUAAAGGGCGAGGGGCUUAGGUCAUCGUCCUUUCCGCCCCACCUACUGGAAUGGAGUGGACAUCUGACGGUCUGCGAUGUGCUUUUGCGCUCGGGCCGGGACGCGCAGUUUGAAUUGCGUCUGAGAAGCGUCAGUGAAGCGCCUCGCGCUUCUGGGCUUCAUAGCUGACAAAGCUCUCGGGCCUGCUUGCGUCACGGCUGCGCGGACUAGGAUUCAGACUCUCCGCCAGGGUGUCCGGAUUGGGAAACUUCUGAGUAGUCCGGGACCGUGCCACCUGCAGGGACAAAAGAGGCACGUUCCUUUCCACCUAAGUGCUAAGAGGGGUUCACUUUGGACCUGGAACUUUACUGGGGGGAAGAAAGCAGGGGCUGUCUGAUGUUGGAGACCUGAGGAAAAAAAUGAGGGAUGAGUCAAGUGGAAAUCUGGGGAAAGACUGUCCCAGCAAUGUGGAAGUGUAGUUGGAAGGAGAAAGGUAGUGAAGCCUGUAGGCUUAGGGAAGAGCUUUGGGCAGGUAAAGUGAUAAUGACUGCUAACUGUUGUGGGAAAACACUGAAGUUGCAAGGGUGUAGUUUUUAACUGGGGAAGACUACUUGGGGGAAUAAUCCAAGUUUUCCUUUUCAAACCUAUCAAGCAUUUGUCACCACGAAAGGAAGAAUGCACCUGAAUUUAAAUUCGGUUUUGCCUUUCAAGGCUGUGCUAAGUUUUAUUGCUAGGUAACUGCUAUGUAUAUUACACACGGGGCAGCUUGAGACAGUAUCUGUGGGUGUCUACCCAAGUAGCUCUUCUUCCACCUUCCUAAUAGAACCUAUUUGUUCAGGGGAUGCCUGGUUCCCUCCUCUCACUGAUCUCAAGGAUGAAUCUUGAAUGAUAUAAGCCAAUAGUUCUUAACUGGGGUGCUUUAAAUGCUUGAGGGGCUCAGUUAUCAUAAUUGGUUAACACUAGAAGCAUUUAGUGGGCAAGGGCCUACCAGAGAUGCUAAUUAUCUUCCCCAGCAUGCCCUAGAACAGUCCUUCAUAAAGAAUCACUGCACAUCCCACAGGGUUCCCACCAAGUGUUCAUGUGGCUGAAACUUCAGCCUAGCAUUUUUCACAUGAAUCACAAGAAGUUUUUAAAUGAGUGUUGACUACUUGUUUUCUAAAAAUGUAAUUAUGUAAAUAAUCUCCCUAAUUUCUAAGAGGUAAAUUUAAAGAAAUAAACUUUUAAGAAAUAAUGCUUAGUCA
Vicugna pacos (alpaca) is the source of this 1398-nucleotide non-coding RNA. The record is from RefSeq and is a predicted model, not a curated record. NCBI's taxonomy places the organism in Eukaryota, Metazoa, Chordata, Mammalia, Artiodactyla, Camelidae.